RNAcentral lists this ribosomal RNA (932 nucleotides) under uncultured Sordariomycetidae. RNAcentral describes it as "eukaryotic LSU rRNA". The stretch from base 1 to 571 matches the Rfam family "Eukaryotic large subunit ribosomal RNA", at positions 69 to 664 of the family's 3401-position model. Lineage: Eukaryota; Fungi; Ascomycota; Sordariomycetes. The record is from RNAcentral.
CAGGGAUUGCCCUAGUAACGGCGAGUGAAGCGGCAACAGCUCAAAUUUGAAAUCUGGCCUCGGGCCCGAGUUGUAAUUUGUAGAGGAUGCUUUGGGCGUCGGCGCCUCCAGAGUUCCCUGGAAUGGGACGCCAUAGAGGGUGAGAGCCCCGUACGGUGGGAUGCCUAGCCUCUGUAAAGCUCCUUCGACGAGUCGAGUAGUUUGGGAAUGCUGCUCAAAAUGGGAGGUAAAUUUCUUCUAAAGCUAAAUACCGGCCAGAGACCGAUAGCGCACAAGUAGAGUGAUCGAAAGAUGAAAAGCACUUUGAAAAGAGGGUCAAAAAGUACGUGAAAUUGUUGAAAGGGAAGCGCUUGCGACCAGACUUGUGCCCAGUGAAUCAUCCGGCGUUUUCGCCGGUGCGCUUCACUGGGUUCAGGCCAGCAUCGGUUCUCUCAGGGCGUUAAAAACAGCGGGAAUGUGGCUCUUCAGGGAGUGUUAUAGCCCGCUGUAAAAUAUCCUUGGGGGGAUCGAGGACCGCGCUUCGGCACGGAUGCUGGCGUAAUGGUCAUCAGCGACCCGUCUUGAAACACGGAAGGGCGAAUUCGUUUAAACCUGCAGGACUAGUCCCUUUAGUGAGGGUUAAUUCUGAGCUUGGCGUAAUCAUGGUCAUAGCUGUUUCCUGUGUGAAAUUGUUAUCCGCUCACAAUUCCACACAACAUACGAGCCGGAAGCAUAAAGUGUAAAGCCUGGGGUGCCUAAUGAGUGAGCUAACUCACAUUAAUUGCGUUGCGCUCACUGCCCGCUUUCCAGUCGGGAAACCUGUCGUGCCAGCUGCAUUAAUGAAUCGGCCAACGCGCGGGGAGAGGCGGUUUGCGUAUUGGGCGCUCUUCCGCUUCCUCGCUCACUGACUCGCUGCGCUCGGUCGUUCGGCUGCGGCGAGCGGUAUCAGCUCA